Molecule: ribosomal RNA, 1268 nt
Filed under: Escherichia coli
Lineage: Bacteria; Pseudomonadati; Pseudomonadota; Gammaproteobacteria; Enterobacterales; Enterobacteriaceae
Description: partial 23S ribosomal RNA
Rfam family: Bacterial large subunit ribosomal RNA
Source: RNAcentral
UCCUGACUGACCGAUAGUGAACCAGUACCGUGAGGGAAAGGCGAAAAGAACCCCGGCGAGGGGAGUGAAAAAGAACCUGAAACCGUGUACGUACAAGCAGUGGGAGCACGCUUAGGCGUGUGACUGCGUACCUUUUGUAUAAUGGGUCAGCGACUUAUAUUCUGUAGCAAGGUUAACCGAAUAGGGGAGCCGAAGGGAAACCGAGUCUUAACUGGGCGUUAAGUUGCAGGGUAUAGACCCGAAACCCGGUGAUCUAGCCAUGGGCAGGUUGAAGGUUGGGUAACACUAACUGGAGGACCGAACCGACUAAUGUUGAAAAAUUAGCGGAUGACUUGUGGCUGGGGGUGAAAGGCCAAUCAAACCGGGAGAUAGCUGGUUCUCCCCGAAAGCUAUUUAGGUAGCGCCUCGUGAAUUCAUCUCCGGGGGUAGAGCACUGUUUCGGCAAGGGGGUCAUCCCGACUUACCAACCCGAUGCAAACUGCGAAUACCGGAGAAUGUUAUCACGGGAGACACACGGCGGGUGCUAACGUCCGUCGUGAAGAGGGAAACAACCCAGACCGCCAGCUAAGGUCCCAAAGUCAUGGUUAAGUGGGAAACGAUGUGGGAAGGCCCAGACAGCCAGGAUGUUGGCUUAGAAGCAGCCAUCAUUUAAAGAAAGCGUAAUAGCUCACUGGUCGAGUCGGCCUGCGCGGAAGAUGUAACGGGGCUAAACCAUGCACCGAAGCUGCGGCAGCGACGCUGAUGCGUUGUUGGGUAGGGGAGCGUUCUGUAAGCCUGCGAAGGUGUGCUGUGAGGCAUGCUGGAGGUAUCAGAAGUGCGAAUGCUGACAUAAGUAACGAUAAAGCGGGUGAAAAGCCCGCUCGCCGGAAGACCAAGGGUUCCUGUCCAACGUUAAUCGGGGCAGGGUGAGUCGACCCCUAAGGCGAGGCCGAAAGGCGUAGUCGAUGGGAAACAGGUUAAUAUUCCUGUACUUGGUGUUACUGCGAAGGGGGGACGGAGAAGGCUAUGUUGGCCGGGCGACGGUUGUCCCGGUUUAAGCGUGUAGGCUGGUUUUCCAGGCAAAUCCGGAAAAUCAAGGCUGAGGCGUGAUGACGAGGCACUACGGUGCUGAAGCAACAAAUGCCCUGCUUCCAGGAAAAGCCUCUAAGCAUCAGGUAACAUCAAAUCGUACCCCAAACCGACACAGGUGGUCAGGUAGAGAAUACCAAGGCGCUUGAGAGAACUCGGGUGAAGGAACUAGGCAAAAUGGUGCCGUAACUUCGGGAGAA